GCCUCAAGCGACCCUCCCACCUCUGCCUCCCAAAAGUGCUAGGAUCACAGGCGUGAGCCACCACACCCAACCCACUUCUACUCCUUAUAGGAAUCCCUUACAUAUUCUGGAUAUAAGCCCUUUAUUGGAGAUAUGUCCUUCUCUUAAUGUGUGCCUUUCCUGUUUACUCUCUGCGUACCCCUUCUACUUGUAAGAAGAAGUUAGUUAUAAAACAGCCUCAGGCAGGUCCUUCAGGAGGUAUUCCUGAAGAAAGAAAGCAUUCUUAGGAGGUGACAGCUCCAUGCAUGUUAAUGCCUCUGAAGAUCUUCCAGCUGGACAGGAGAUGGAGGUGGAAGACACUACUAUCGUGAGCCUGACCCUGUGUAGGCUUAAGCUAAUGUGUGUGUUUGUUUCUUAGCUUUUA
Microcebus murinus (gray mouse lemur) is the source of this 403-nucleotide non-coding RNA. Lineage: Eukaryota; Metazoa; Chordata; Mammalia; Primates; Cheirogaleidae. The record is from RefSeq and is a predicted model, not a curated record.